This 667-nucleotide ribosomal RNA is filed under the name uncultured bacterium. RNAcentral's name for it is "bacterial SSU rRNA". It matches the Rfam family "Bacterial small subunit ribosomal RNA", at positions 504 to 1173 of the family's 1533-position model. The record is from RNAcentral.
CGUGCCAGCCGCCGCGGUAACACGUAGGGGGCGAGCGUUGUUCGGAAUUACUGGGCGUAAAGGGCAUGUAGCGGUUUGGUAAGCCCUGGCGUGAAAGUCCACAGCUUAACUGUGGGAUUGCGCUGGGAACUGCUGAGCUUGAGUGACGGAGAGGGAGCUGGAAUUCCUGGUGUAGGGGUGAAAUCUGUAGAUAUCAGGAAGAACACCGAUGGCGAAGGCAAGCUCCUGGCCGAUGACUGACGCUGAGGUGCGAAAGUGUGGGGAUCAAACAGGAUUAGAUACCCUGGUAGUCCACACAGUAAACGAUGUGCACUAGGUGCUGGGGCGGUAGCCUCGGUGCCGGAGCGAACGUGGUAAGUGCACCGCCUGGGGAGUAUGCUCGCAAGGGUGAAACUCAAAGGAAUUGACGGGGGCCCGCACAAGCGGUGGAGCAUGUGGUUUAAUUCGAUGGUACGCGAGGAACCUUACCUGGGUUUGACAUACGGAGGGAUGCGGCAGCGAUGUUGCAGCGUCGAAAGACGGCUCCAUACAGGUGCUGCAUGGCUGUCGUCAGCUCGUGCCGUGAGGUGUUGGGUUAAGUCCCGCAACGAGCGCAACCCUACUGCCAGUUACUACCAGGUGAAGCUGAGGACUCUGGCGGAACUGCCGGUGACAAACCGGAGGAAGG